CAGUAGCGUAUAUUAAUGUUGUUGCAGUUAAAAAGCUCGUAGUUGGAUUUCUAGCAGACAUGCAUGGUCCGGGCCACGUCAGUGGAACUGAGUAUCGUCGUUGUGUCUGUUAUCUUACUAGUUUAACAACUUUUCGGGUUGUUCGACUGGUUCUUUUACUUUGAAAAAUUAGAGUGUUUAAAGCAGGCUUGCGCAAUGAAUACAUUAGCAUGGAAUAAUAACAUAAGACUUUGGUUUUAUUUUGUUGGUUCAUAGCACCGAAGUAAUGAUUGAUAGGGAUAGUUGGGGGUGCUAGUAUUGAGUGGCCAGAGGUGAAAUUCGGGGAUUCGCUCAAGACUAACUUAUGCGAAAGCAUUCACCAAGGAUGUCUUCUUUAAUCAAGAACGAAAGUUGGGGGAUCGAAGACGAUCAGAUACCGU
This 419-nucleotide ribosomal RNA is filed under the name uncultured eukaryote. Its description in RNAcentral is "bacterial SSU rRNA". It matches the Rfam family "Eukaryotic small subunit ribosomal RNA", at positions 592 to 1018 of the family's 1831-position model. The record is from RNAcentral.